Molecule: long non-coding RNA, 766 nt
Organism: Varroa destructor (honeybee mite)
Lineage: Eukaryota; Metazoa; Arthropoda; Arachnida; Mesostigmata; Varroidae
Source: RefSeq, a predicted model, not a curated record
UCCACGUAUGUCUAGGGAGAAUGCUGCAUUGUUGAAAUGUGGCCAAUAUAGGGAAAAACGACGUUCCUUAUAGUGGGUUUGUCAGUUUGCUGUACCAAGUCCGAACCGUGUCGAUCUAGUCAUAUUCGCUCCUCUUCACUCCUAUGUCUGUCGUUUCCCUUUAUCCCAGAGAAAAACGAUUGCUUUGAGGCAUCACUUUAAAGUGUAUUAUAACAGGAACAGCCAAAAGUCCAAGUAAAACCAGCCAAGUCGGCAAAAGCCCGUGUACCGCGGAGAUCUUCAAGCUGGCUUGACUUCGAAGCGACAGCCGUGAUGGAAGGGUCACACAGGACUAGAAAAUGCGUGAGGCGCCAGACUGAUCGCAGAGCCGCCCCAGGCCCGCGGUCAGUAGCAUUAUUCUAGCAGUACUGCCGAAAUGGUAUGCUAAUGAAACGAACAGAACUCGGCCGAAAAUGUAAUUUCAGCCUUCCGUGUAGUGCCAAACAUUAGAACAAGUCCGACUGCUGUUAGGUUUAUCCGUGGAUAUUUCUACGUCAAAGGUCUCCGGCGAAUCGAACAUGUGUUAUUGUAGUCCGGCAACCUAAGCCAGCUGUGUUUUCAACCCCAGGACGUGUUUACGUAGUACGAUGGAAUCAGAUAAAGUAAAGAUCAGCAGUAAGCUUCAUUUUAUCGAGCCGCGAUAGUUGUCGAUGUAGUCGUGCUUACGACGCUCUUGACGAUUGGCGGUGAGAUGUCGUGCGGCUGCUGCGUGGGCUCGGUAGGACUG